UACGUAGGGUGCGAGCGUUAAUCGGAAUUACUGGGCGUAAAGCGUGCGCAGGCGGCGCGUUAAGACAGGUGUGAAAGCCCCGGGCUUAACCUGGGAACUGCGUUUGAAACUGGGAGACUUGAGUGUGGCAGAGGGGGGUGGAAUUCCACGUGUAGCAGUGAAAUUCGUAGAUAUCGGGAGGAACACCGGUGGCGAAGGCGGCGACCUGGGUCGAUACUGACGCUGAGGCGCGAAAGCGUGGGGAGCAAACAGG
RNAcentral lists this ribosomal RNA (253 nucleotides) under uncultured bacterium. Its description in RNAcentral is "partial 16S ribosomal RNA". It matches the Rfam family "Bacterial small subunit ribosomal RNA", at positions 524 to 776 of the family's 1533-position model. The record is from RNAcentral.